This 775-nucleotide ribosomal RNA is filed under the name uncultured bacterium. RNAcentral's name for it is "bacterial SSU rRNA". It matches the Rfam family "Bacterial small subunit ribosomal RNA", at positions 584 to 1363 of the family's 1533-position model. The record is from RNAcentral.
UAAGUCAGCGGUAAAAUUUCUGCGCUCAACGCAGUCGUGCCGUUGAAACUGGGGGGCUUGAGUCUAGAUGAAGUGGGCGGAAUUUGUAGUGUAGCGGUGAAAUGCUUAGAUAUUACAAGGAACUCCGAUUGUGCAGGCAGCUCACUAAGCUAUCACUGACGCUGAAGCACGAAAGCGUGGGUAUCAAACAGGAUUAGAUACCCUGGUAGUCCACGCAGUAAACGAUGAUCACUCGCUGUCUGCGAUAUACAGUAGGCGGCCAAGCGAAAGCGUUAAGUGAUCCACCUGGGGAGUACGCCGGCAACGGUGAAACUCAAAGGAAUUGACGGGGGCCCGCACAAGCGGAGGAACAUGUGGUUUAAUUCGAUGAUACGCGAGGAACCUUACCCGGGCUUGAAAUGCAGAGGAAUGUCGUGGAGACAUGUCAGUCGGCAAUGACCUCUGUGUAGGUGCUGCAUGGUUGUCGUCAGCUCGUGCCGUGAGGUGUCGGCUUAAGUGCCAUAACGAGCGCAACCCUCAUCGAUAGUUACCAUCAGGUCAUGCUGGGGACUCUAUCGAGACUGCCGCCGUAAGGUGUGAGGAAGGUGGGGAUGACGUCAAAUCAGCACGGCCCUUACGUCCGGGGCGACACACGUGUUACAAUGGGGGGGACAAGGGGCCGCUACCUGGCGACAGGAUGCCAAUCUCGAAACCCCCUCUCAGUUCGGAUCGGAGUCUGCAACCAGACUCCGUGAAGCUGGAUUCGCUAGUAAUCGCGCAUCAGCCAUGGCGCGGG